GAUGAACGCUGGCGGCGUGCCUGACACAUGCAAGUCGAGCGAGAAUUGAUGGAAUGAGGACUUCGGUCCGAGUGAAGUCGAGGAAAGCGGCGGACGGGUGAGUAACGCGUGGGUAACCUGCCCCAUACAAUGGGAUAGCCACUGGAAACGGUGAUUAAUACCAUAUGAUGCUUUAUAAUCGCAUGAUUUAAAAGCUAAAGAUUUAUCGGUAUGGGAUGGACCCGCGUCUGAUUAGCUAGUUGGUGAGGUAACGGCUCACCAAGGCGACGAUCAGUAGCCGACCUGAGAGGGUGAUCGGCCACACUGGAACUGAGACACGGUCCAGACUCCUACGGGAGGCAGCAGUGGGGAAUAUUGCACAAUGGGCGCAAGCCUGAUGCAGCAACGCCGUGUGAGUGAUGAAGGCC
This 407-nucleotide ribosomal RNA is filed under the name uncultured bacterium. Its description in RNAcentral is "bacterial SSU rRNA". It matches the Rfam family "Bacterial small subunit ribosomal RNA", at positions 28 to 416 of the family's 1533-position model. The record is from RNAcentral.